Molecule: long non-coding RNA, 816 nt
Filed under: Monodelphis domestica (gray short-tailed opossum)
Lineage: Eukaryota; Metazoa; Chordata; Mammalia; Didelphimorphia; Didelphidae
Description: lncRNA (ENSMODG00000046876.1)
Source: RNAcentral
AUAGAUAGAUAGAAAGGAGAUCAAAGAAUGAUUAUCACAGACAAAGGAGAAAAAGAACUUUGCAACUCUAUUUUACUCCUGUUUCCCCGGCCAAGAGAAAUGAGUUCUGGACUGGAUAGAAAAGAACAAUAACAACUAACAGGAUAACAGAACUGGCAGGACAGAGAGAAGAAAUAGCUGAAGCCUAUAGUGGAUGCCAAUCCAGUAGCCCAACAUCCUGCAGACUAAUCAGGAAGGGGAGGAGCUCCUGCCCCACCUUUUGCCAGGCUGGAUUAGCUGCAACUGAGCACUUUUACAUACAGUGCCUCCCCCACCUCUUCCAUUCUGAGAAAGGACAGAAGAACAGGAUAUGAGGAAAAGGCAUCAAGAUCCCUAAAUCUAGACAUGGGAAAUGGAGGAGGAGGGGAGACAGCAACCAUCAGGCCUCCUACGCACUUUGAAGAUGGUCCAUCAUAUGGAAUGCCAGGUGCUGAAGUUUCAAAGGAUUUGGGUCUAUUGGCAGAGGGCAAAGUCCCAUGAAGUGACUGAAGAAAAUUCAACAUCUUGGGCCUGUCUUAUUCUCCCAAGAAGCAGAAAAAAAUCAUGGAAGAGGUUGAGUCAUGGACUUUUCAUGGCAACACUGAACAUGGUACCACUGAACAUGGAAGCCAGUGGGAGAGUUGAAUUUCAUUUCCAGUUCUACCACAAACAACAUAUACACAGCCCCUUCUGCUUUCUUGGCCUUACCUUCAACAUCAAAAAAAUGAUGACAUAUCACUAGCUGAUCUCAACAUCAGCUCUUCUUCUUGAAAUGGACUCUAUCAUGCCCUUGGACAG